GUUUCUGUUGCACCCGAGUGUGUUUCGCGUGACUAGACUGCAUCACGCCUGCUCACCAACAUCACCACUAUCUGCCUUCCCCAGUCCGUUCUUGUUAUUUACUUUUUUCCUCCUCACAGCCCCGUCAUACCCGCAGCGCCUGCGUGCUUGAUCCUGUGCGUUGUCUGUUCACUAUCCUGCUGUCUGGUUGUGUGUGCGUUGUGUGUGUGUUUGUGUGCGUGUUCAGCACCUCCUGCUACGCCCACGCAUACACGUGAAGAAAGAGGUGAUGCAGGAAAGGUAAGCGCGUACACCCCCUGUUUUUCCGCCCGCCCUUGCGACGCCCUCCCGCGUGUUUAGCUCUCGCUGGGCUUACGCUCCACUUGUUGUACAUCGCGAGGCGCUCCGCCUGUCUCUCCCCCGCCUCCCCCCCCCUUCCCCACGAUCAGUCCUUUCGCCUUUCCAACCGUUUGCGCCCUCUCCACCGCCCAUCUGUCACCCCUUCAUGUCGAACAUCAAGAAGGUGCAGACAGAGGCAGACCGCCUCCUCAAGAAGGUCAAUGAGGGCCUCGACGCGUACGACGAGCUGCACGAGAAGCUAGCUAACGCGCCCAACGCGAGCGCCAAGGAACGCCUCGAGGGUGACCUAAAGCGUGAGCUUAAGAAGCUACAGCGCCACCGUGAGGCCAUGAAGAGCUUCAUGCAGAACGACGACUACAAGGAGAAAACGAAGAUGCAGGUGUCGCGCAAGAAGAUCGAAGAGCGCAUGGAGACGUUUCGUGCGAUCGAGCGAGAAAUGAAGACGAAGGCCUUCAGCAACGAGGGGUUGGCCUCCGCCGCGCUGGAAAGGGCGGACUCCGCCACGGAGCAGUGGCUGAAGGACGCGAUUGAGGAGGGACGCAAAAAGAUAGAGCUGCUCGAGUACGAGGUGCAGAAGGCGAACAAUGGCCGCGUACGCCGUGGGAAGCAGCAGCAGAAGUCCGAGUACCAGAUACGCCUCGAGAACUUGCAGACCCAUUUCUUCAAGUGGGAGUCGCUGCUGCGCAUGGUGAACAACGAGGAGCUCGACACCGACGAGGUGGAUGACCUGCAGGAACCGAUUCAGAAGGUGCUCGAGGACGACGUUGAUUUGGAGGUAAUGGAGGACAUGUCCAUAUAUGACAGCUUCGACAUCCCAGAGCCGAAGGCGAAGCCCGUCGUGCCAUUUGACGUCAGCGACUACGAAGACAAGAAGGUGCAGUCGCCGAAGACGACGGCCAAGGCCAAGACGCCAACGUCCACAGUGCAGGCUAAGCCCAGCCCGUUCAUCACAUCUCCGAAGGAAACGGCGGCGUCCUCUACACCGGUCCCCUCGUCGACGCAGCAACCGGCGCUCGCGCAAACGCCGCAGCAGCUGCUACCCCCCACCGCCAGCAGCCCGGCGGACGACGACAUCGGUGAGGAGGAGCCAGUGCCGGAGUGGAUGGAUGACGACAUGGACACCGCCAACGACGACACCUUUGGCGAUGACGCCAUGAGCGGUGGUUUCACGAUCGGCUCGCUCGCCGAGAUGGCCUCGGCAACGAGCAGGGUGACGCAGGACUGGGAGAAGUCGCAGAAACCCAUCGGGUCGCCGGAGCCCAAGACGGUGAAAGUGACCGACUCCGGCCAUGGAGCACCAGAGGAGAAGCCGAAGCCGACUCCGCCGGCCGCGGCGCCGACGCCGAACGCGUGGGAGCGACGCGCCGCCGAGCAGCAGAGCCGGCAGAAAGCACAGCAGCAGCAGCAACAGAAGCAAGCCCCGGAUGCUGCCUCGCCGGUGGCGCCGUUCGGGCCAGUCGCUGCGACCGCCGAAGCGAGUGCGCCGGAGGCGGUGACAACUUCGCUGAUUGCCCCGGCCGCAGCGACGUCUCCGUCGACCCCGGUCGGCAGCGUUGACACAGACCCCAGCCAGCCCUUCCCGCCCAUUCCUGGUGCCGCUCCUGGUUCCAAGUUCACGCCGAAGAAGAUCCACGAGCUCUUGGAUAUGUCUCUUGGCAACCUGCCGCACACGCUCGACGUGCAGCGGCAGCGCCCCUACGAGCCGCCGAACGCGAUCGAUGCGAUCCCGUACUUCCCGCAGGAGGUGCUGCCGGUGCUGUCGAACAAAGACGUCUACCAUCAGAUGGAUCUCGACACGCUCUUCUUCAUCUUCUACUACCACCAAAAGUCGUACCAGCAGUACUUCGCCGCCAAGGAGCUCAAGGCCCGCUCCUACCGCUACCACACGAAGCAGCAGCGGUGGUACCAGCGGCUGGAGCGUCCGCAGACGACGACAGAGACGGAGGAGCGCGGCUCGUACACCUUCUUUGACUUCGAGGACAAGUGGGACCACGACCGCAUCGACGACUUUCUCUUUGAGUACAAAUACCUUGAGAAUGAACUCCACUGAUCUGGCCGCGAGCGUGGUCGCGGGUGCGCGGCGGUUGGCUCGCUCGAUUGCCUGCUCGUGCCGUGUGUAAGAGCACGCGUGUCCGUGUCUCCGGGAGCGAGAGAGAGAGAGAAAGGGGAAGCGUGCGGCUAAGCUGGUACUGCGAGAAGGACGGCAACAGAGACACGCACACGUAUAAUCUAAGGGGGAGGGGGUAGAAAGCAGGCAUGACGUGAGGAUCCUUGUAUACACUCUACCCGCCCGCCCCCUCUCCGUGUGUUUUUGUACCCCCCCCCACUCAAGCGGCUGCGUCCUGCAGAUGUGAGCGUGAUGCUUGGGGGGGGGGGGGGGGUUCGAGAAAACAAGAGCGUCCUCUAGUUCAUCAGCUCGUUUUGCGAUUGCCUUCGUGGUUGCCAAUCGUGCUGGUGUGUGUAUGUGCGCUGCUUAGGACUUGUCUCUCUGCAUGCAUGGACGCGCAUGCGCGCUUGUUGCUGUGGCCUCGACAGAGAGUGGGGGGAGGCGCCACAGCACACACUCUCCUGCCAUCACCUCUGCGCCACCCUCCUUCCAAAUGUUGUGUUUCCGUCGCUGCUUUCUUGUCUUCGUAUAGCGCACCUCUCUCUCUCUGCCGUCGUCGUUGUUGAAUGAUGUCGUCCGUUCACCAUUAAUCCCUCUGUCUGGCGCACACACGCGCGCGCGCAACUUUGGGGAGAGCGAGGCGGAGUGAUGAUAGAGUGCUUAGAAUACGUCCAGCGCCUCUUUCCAUCUCCUCUUGUGCUUGUCGCUCGGCAUGCCCUCCCCCUCCUCCUCCUCUCUUCCUCGUCGUUGGCGAUUGUGCGUGUGCGUGCGUGUGUGCGUGUGCGUGUGUGCGUGUGUGUCGACCCCACUGGCUUUUGGUCAUGUGCGUUUCUCUGUUAGCGAACUUACAAAGCCCUUCCCCCCCUCCUCUCUCAACGGAACAAAAACAAAAACCACCACAACGUAUCCACACAGCCGCCCCAGAAGCCCAUCGGCAGAGCGACUUGCGGUCUAACACUGUGCUGUCGGACAAAGGACGAAGAGGGGAGGGGCAAUGGAAGGGGGCCUCCUCUCUUUCCAGCAUCGUCGUCUCCGAGGCUUGCCGAUGCCCGUGAUGGGUCGAAAAUGCUCCACUGACGCGUAUGUGUCCGUAAUCGUGGUUGUGGGCGCGCUGAGUGUCUCGCCUUUGUGUGUGUGUGUGUGUGCACGUGAGUAGCAAGCACACCCCUUCUCAUCCCCCACCCUCCUUUCCACGCUGCCGCGAAGCGCCACGGCACCCUCGACAACGGAGUGGCGCUCCUUGUGACCCAUUGUGUCCUUUCUUCUGUACCCGCUGCGGGCCACCUGCUUCUAUGGAGUACGGACCUUGAUGUGGUCCACACACACACACACAGCGCUUCUACCUUCUCCCUCCCCCUUCGGAUCUUCGUUCCUCUCUCUCACCCACACCACGCGAACGUGUCUACAUGCGUGCGUAG
Molecule: unclassified non-coding RNA, 3864 nt
Filed under: Leishmania donovani
Lineage: Eukaryota; Euglenozoa; Kinetoplastea; Trypanosomatida; Trypanosomatidae
Description: gene:LdHU3.25.2380(CDS-product:Not1_N-inal_domain _CCR4-Not_complex_component/NOT2_/_NOT3_/_NOT5_family_putat ive)
Source: RNAcentral